RNAcentral lists this small RNA (76 nucleotides) under Psychroflexus halocasei. Its description in RNAcentral is "Psychroflexus sp. WS 4520 Flavo-1 RNA". It matches the Rfam family "Flavo-1 RNA". The record is from Rfam by way of RNAcentral. Lineage: Bacteria; Pseudomonadati; Bacteroidota; Flavobacteriia; Flavobacteriales; Flavobacteriaceae.
AACUUGCGUUAAGGAUUGAUGCGGCAUCCUUUGCUUUUUUUUAAAAGCAAAGAUACAGCGGAAAGCCUGACCUUGC